GACAGAGGGUGCAAACGUUGUUCGGAAUUACUGGGCGUAAAGCGAGUGUAGGCGGUGUGGUAAGUCGGAUGUGAAAGCCCCGGGCUCAACCCGGGAAGUGCACUCGAUACUGCCACGCUAGAGUAUCGGAGAGGUUGGUGGAAUUCUCGGUGUAGAGGUGAAAUUCGUAGAUAUCGAGAGGAACACCGGUGGCGAAGGCGGCCAACUGGACGAAUACUGACGCUGAGACGCGAAAGCGUGGGGAGCGAACAGG
This 253-nucleotide ribosomal RNA is filed under the name uncultured bacterium. RNAcentral's name for it is "partial 16S ribosomal RNA". It matches the Rfam family "Bacterial small subunit ribosomal RNA", at positions 524 to 776 of the family's 1533-position model. The record is from RNAcentral.